This 534-nucleotide long non-coding RNA is filed under the name Phascolarctos cinereus (koala). Its description in RNAcentral is "lncRNA (ENSPCIG00000024010.2)". Lineage: Eukaryota; Metazoa; Chordata; Mammalia; Diprotodontia; Phascolarctidae. The record is from RNAcentral.
CCUUAAGAGGGCAACAGAAGCCCCGCCCCCAGGGUGCUGUGGCCCCGCCCACUAACGUGUGUUUUGAGCCCGGGAAGAAAGGCCCUGCCCAUGCCAGAGUUCCAUGGAACGGGAUGCACAGGGCUCUCUCAUUCGCUCCUAUUUCACCAUGGCCCACUGAUUGCUGGGAAGGCAGCUGCAGUCCUUCCAUUGAAGAGCAAGUCUAACUGUAGCUGAUAGUCACAGUCCUCUAGAGAGACCUAGAAAAAUUGAGGCACUUUCUUCAACAGCUAACUUUGCUCUAGAGAAUGACUGAGGAACUAGGAAGAAUACAAUCCAACUUAAAAGCUGCAGCUUCUCAGAAAAAAAGUCUUCAUGAAAAUUCAGGUUUACCAAAGUACUGGAUACCUGAAGAUCCCAGACUUCUCUGUGCUAGAUAAUUGAAGGCAGAGCACUCCACUGAAAAGGCUGCCAAGAUCUAUCAGUGAAACAAAGUAAGCUCCCACACAAUCUCUAGAUCCUGAAAAAAGAAAUGUUAGGAAAUGAUUUUGCAGU